GCCUCCCAUUGGCUCGCUCAGCUCGGAUUGACCGGCCGGAGAACCAAUAGCCGCCGGUCUCCAAGGAUCCCGCUGGCGCCGCCCCUCGCAGCGCUGGCAGUAACAAUAUGGCAGCGGCGCCUAUUGGUGGCGGCGCGCUCUGAGCGGAGGACGCCCGGCGGCGGCGGCGGGCAGCGGCUCCCGGGGCGGGCGGCGGCGCCGAGCCCGGGCAGGGGAGAGCGCUGGCAUCUCACGGCGAGCUAAUUGGAGCUUCAGCUGCGUGCCUCUGGUUGUCCACGAGCUUCCUUCUGCCCGUCCUAAGUAAGGAGAAGCAGCAGGAGGAACAGCCAGGGCCAGAUGGGACUGCAUGGAGGGAGAAUCGGAGACUCUGCUUGCAAGGUGUCUCUGUGCAGGUGGUGAUGCUGAACUCUCUGGAGCUGCUGUGUUCACCUAGAACUUGUUAGACCUGUGGAAAAGAUCUUGCCAAGGUGAGUACAAGUGCAGGUUGCCUACAUACUGGCAGGCUGGACCGGAGGUGUGAGCAUCGGAUGGGUGAAGCAUCACUGUGGCAUCUUCGUGUAGCCUGAUCCCAUGCCUUGGGCUGACAGUGAGCUUGCCCUCAGAUGGAAGAUUUGGGGUUUUCCCCAUGGCCGUCACCAACCCUUGUGGUGCCUGUGAUCUGAUAAGGUGGAGGCUGGUCUCAACGGUACCCGCUUCACUGUCACUGAUCUGGACUUUGUGCCAAGGGCUUAGUGAGGAUGGGAUGUAGGCAAGAGGUCUGUAGGCUUGGGGUCAAUACAUAAGACCCUACCUCUACUCUGCAGGGAAAGGAAGAGUAGGGAAGGCAGGGGAGGAGCAUAGACAACACUGUCGGUAUCCAUCCCUGGCCUCUUGCUGCUCUCUCGGCCCAGCAGUGGCUGUUGUGGUGUGGAGGGGGCUCCAGGGCUGUCUGGGGGCUCCAGGGCUGUCUGGGAGCUCCAGGGGACAUCACCGUGCCAACUCCCAGCUUGGAAGUGUGGCAGCCUCACUUGUUUCUGGUGCCAUGCUGAGAAUGGUGUGUGACUUCCCAAGGAUGCUCCUGGCCCUGGACGUGUCCGGAAUAAGGGGGAGCAUGCUUUCUCUUUUUUUCAUCUCUCUUUUCUGCUUUUCCCUGGGGCUUUUGUUAACCGUGAAGCUGUUAAUGCAAAAUGAAGGCAUGGAAAUUUCAUAUUGUAGCAGUUAAUCUGCCCUUCCUAAUAUUUUCCAGUUGUAAAUUGCCAGUGCUAACAGGUACGUGCUGUUGCAACCGAGCAGCUGAUCCUGCCAGGAGGCAGUGGCUGUUGUGUUUGGUCGUUACCGCCUCCUGGGAAGCUGUAACACUCCCUGCCCGAGCACAGCACUGUGAUUAGUUUAACAGGGAGUUUCCAAUUAUUAGUUAGAUGUAUUUCUGCUAGAUUUAUUUUAUGAGAAAAGGUGUUACGUGGUCACGGGACAGCGGUUGCAAAGUUCCAGGCUUUGGCUGGGUCCCUGCAGCACGUGAGAGCUGCUGUUCCCAUCUGCCCCCCGUUUGCUGGCUGUAGCCAUCGGGAGUGUUUGGAUUAAAAUGUUUUGGGGAGGGAGAAUAAAGGAGAAGCUAAGCGCAUUUCCUAGCCUGGAUUUUAGGAGUCACUUAAGGGAGUACGCUCGGAUGAGUAAGGGCAGGGGCGAAUUGCAAACUGCACUUACUGCGUUCGUCUGGGGAUUUUAGCCCUGUAGUUUGUGGCGUGAAAGCUGUGCUUUUCUUAAGAAAGAGCAAUAAAAGGCAACAAGCUUAAAGACCCAGAUUAAUUUAGAGACUGCGGCGGGGGAGGUGAGCUGGAGGCAGAAGCGCGGUGACUCUGGCUGACCUCUCCAUCAACUCCUCCAAACAGCGGGAGCUGCCUGAGCCGCGGUGGGACCGCGGUGUCCCCGGGUUGCUGUGGCUCUGCGCUGUGCUGCUGCGUUGCUUCUGAAGGAGCGGUGCCAGGAUCCGGCCUGAAAACGCCGAGCAGUGCUUUUGUGUGACUCGGGGAAGUUGGCUGGCUGCUGUACGUGCUCUGUGACGCGGCUCGGUGGCUGUUACGAAGGAUUUAAUUAUCCUGAUGACCCACGGUAACAGAAGGAACGGGCCUGUUCACGUCGAGCCACCGCAGCAUGCAUGGUUAUUCCAUUUCCCUCUUUCCUUUUCCUCUCUCCUCUCCAGCAGAAAGCUACAAAGCGAAAGAUGAUGCCUGUGUUCCUCUUUCCCAGGCUGGCGCGGACGAUGGCUCCUAUGAUCUUUGUUUAUACAGAUCUAGGGUAGAUUAAAGCUCCUUUUAACAUUGCGGUGCUUGUCAGGAGGCUGGGUAAGCCUUUGGAUGCAUCUCACUGCAAACACUUCAGACCUCCUGGUAGCUUCCAUCCUCCUUCCCUAAUCGCACGUUUGUGCAGCUGUUUGUUUUGUACAGCCUCAUGAACCCCUGCUCUGGGAGAAUUUUAACCAUUUGCACGGUCUGUUCAAGCUACAGCUUCUAACAUUACGUGGACUGAACAAGACUUUAUUAACCUGCUCUGUGUGAGCGCAGUACACCCUAGGGGGUUUGAGUAGCAUUUUUGGAUUGCUGCAGAAACUCCAGAGUGCCUUACUUGUGUGCUUUGCCUCCGCACGCUGCAGGGAACUGCCGGAGUUUGCCCAGCAGAAUGCGUUGCGUAUGCGUGGAAUUACCAGUUGUAUGUGAUUGGUGAGGAAAAUCCCACAUACAAAGCAGUCCCAUUUGAGGGGCUCACAGGGAGGUGGCUGGAAGAGCACAAAACCUCGUGAGCGUUGCUGUGGCUGAUAAGGAUUUGAAGGCAGCUACAGUUGGAGCCCUGAACAGUUGGGCUGGUUCCUUAUCUUUAUGUACCAUGGCACUCCAUCAAGUGAGAGUUAAUUUUCCAUUUCCUGAGCGAAGGAACAAAAGGAGGACUGCUGUUAGAGCCCUGGGCUGCAGCAAAGCUCUGCACAUUCAGCAGAAAUGGGGAGGCCUUGCUUUCUGGUUUACUGUGCUGUCCCCAGCCGUUCCUGCCUCGAGGUGUGGGCUUCAGCCUUGGUGGCCGCUCUGUGCUCAGCAUCCUCCCAAGUGGGGGCACGGAGCACAGCAGCCAUGUCCAACUCUGGUACCUGAAUGAGUUUCGUUUGGCAGCACUUACAUCUCUCAUCACUUUGAACUUUUUUUAUUUCAGGAAUCAAAAUGGAGGAGAAGACGGCGGUAAUUUAGUUUUAAUGUCAGGUUUUACUGGGAGUGUUACUUGUUACCAGCGAAGCGCACUUAAGUUCUGAAUAAAUCUUAGCAGGUGCUUUUCAUUUGACUAUAUGGCCUAAGUAAGAUUAUUAUAUAAGCCUCUUCUCAACAGUUUUAAAGCCUAAUUAAAUAUUCUCUCUCCUCGGUUGCAAAGGAGAUAUUAUUUUAAUUACAGAAGCUUUCUUCUGGCAUGCAAAGCACUCCUCUACCAAGAAGAGUUCAGCAAUUUCCUAGAUUUGAUAUGCACGUUUUCAUGUAAUCUCAGUUGAGUUCAGCAGGAAGCUGACCAGAAGAUACAGCUCUCAAUAUAAAUUAUACAGUCGUUUCCUGUUUGUGUCAUCCAGAGCUGAUGUGUCUUAACAUUAGCGUGCAAGUUUCCAUUCUUCAUUGUUAGUGAAGAAAAUGGAAAAUAACGUUAUGACUCCCUCCUCUCUUUGUCCUCGCUUUACCAUCUUUGCCAUCUGUUAACCUUCAAAGGAUAUUCCUGUGGCCCAAAGCUUACGGUUUGAAUAGAAGAACUGUCGUGGUCUUUUAUAACAUACGUAAGGCUAUCCAGAUGUGUAACAGGUUGAUGUGAACUGGGGCUCCAGUGACUUUGAAAACGAGACGACGACCACGCAUACAGCUCCCAGAAAACCAACCAGUGGGCUAUUUGUGGUUCUUUAAACAUCUGGAAUUAUUUCCAGAUUUUGCAGGAGACUUAGUGUGCAAUCGAGGGCGAAUUGCUUCAUUUCUGCCUGUCUCAUUUACUCCCUUGUGUAGAAGGCAAAUAAAACUGAUGGGAGAUGGUUGUACGAACAAAUGUUUAUUGUUCGGCAGCGGGACGGUCUGCAUAAGGUACCGCUUAGGUGUAGUUAAUCCUGCCUUGGGGCAGCAGGAUGCCUUGUACAACCUUCUGAAAUUUCUCUCAAGCCUGUGAUCUAGGCUCUGUUGGCUCAGAGCAACUAGGCGUGUUUCAUGUAGGAGUUUGGCUGAUGGAAGCCCUAACCAUGAUUCUAUGUAGCUCGGAGUUUCAAUGGCUUCUCACAUCACCCCGGUUAGUCAGUCCUUGUCUUAAUUUUUCCUCCUCUCCUGAAUUGCAAACCAGAUUCUGCUUGGUGGAUGGUGUGUAUCAUUACUAGAAUUUGCCCUGGCAGCCAGAUGGGUUUCCAAAAAUAACCUACCCAUUGUUGCGGAGCAUCUCUGAACCUCGGGAUGUUAUGCUGCAAUCUCUCUUAGUGGCUUAAGGCUGUCGUUUUGUUUCUAAUGAUUGAACAAAAAUAAACCGUACCGUGAGUAGACUUGACUCUGUGUGCAGUGUAAUGCUAUUUGAGACACGAGAGAAAUUCCUGCAAUGUUUACACGCUGAAGAGAAACUCCUUUGAAGCCAAACUAUUUCUUCUGUGUAUCCACGCGUAUGAUUUUGUUUACAGCUCGGUAUCUGAACAGUCAUCUGCUCAGUGAGCACCUGGUCUUGAGAGAGGCCCGGUGCCUGGGUAGGCGGUGCCAUGUUUGAAGUUACCUGCGUAAGGUGCUGCUUUUGGGCCUUUAGCCCAAGUACCUGCAGCUGCCUGCAGGAGUGGGAUGGCCAGGUAACAAGCUCUUUCCUUGCCCAGAAUGGGGAUGUCGAAGCUUUUGUUGCUGUUAGUUGUUGGGGUUUUUUUUGCGUGUGUGUGCUAGUCUGGGAAAUAAAUUCAAGAUACUUUUGGACUGUGGGCAUUUUCUAGUUUCAGAAUGGUACAAAUCCAAUAUUGGGGAUAUCUCAGUGUUUCCCUAGUGCUGCAGGAGGAUGAGAAUGUAUAGAGAUGUGUUCAGUUGCUGACGGUCUUAUUGUGGCAGUGCUGCUCGCUGUGAUUAUCUUGUCAUUGCUUUUGGAGAGCAUUCUGCAGCCUGACAUCUUGUUAUACUCCCUUUCCUGCUUAUCAGCAGAAGCUCUCGAUAUCUUUUUCUCUAGCCAUCUCCUCAGUAUCCCUUACACUUCAUAUAUUUUUAAAACCCUCUCCAUCAGCUGUUUUUCCUUUUAAUCUUAAUGCAAACUCAAAAUGAGGAAUCCUGGAUAACUUGGCAUCAGCCUCGUGUUUAGUGCAUCUAUUUUAAUUGCAGUUAGAUUGAAAAUCUAAAUUCUUUAGUGCAAAACAUAAAGAUACCAAAAACUUCACAGUGUUUGAGUUAAAAAGUGACUUUUUGACAGAAGAGGAGUGAAGAGGUGAUGAGCAUUUCCUUGGCAGUGGUGGGGGCUCAGCAGGGGGGUGGGAGCCCAGUCGGGUUGCUGCUUGGCCUUCCCAGGACAAGGCCCCAACCCCCACAGGUCUGCAGGCACUGGAUCGAUGGGGUCUCUUGGAAAGAAGCUUCUGUAGACUCUGGACACUUUGCUUAGAGGCCUCCUUGGCUUUAACUGAUAUGAACUGUGAACCUGAAUUUCAUAGUGUGAAAGGAUGCCAGUGGGGGACUGCACCAAAGGCUUGGGCCAAAAGCCAGGUGAAGUCAAUGAAAAGUUCCUAAACUGUUGUUGGUGGACUCUGUUUUGUGUCCAGAAUCCUGCCCAUGUACUCGGCAUUGGUGAGGCCUCACCUCGAGUACUGGGUUCAGUUUGGGGCACCUCAGUACAGAAGGGACAGUGAGGUGCUGGAGCAGGUCCAAAGAAGGGCAACAAGGCUGGUGAAGGGCUUGGAGAAUAUGCUGUACGAGGAGAGACUGAAGGAACUGGGAUUGUUUAGUCUGGGGAGAAGGAGGCUGAGGGGAGACCUUAUUGCUCUCUUCCAAUAUUUGAAAGGUGCUUACAGCGAAAGCGGAGCUGGUCUCUUCUCACUGGUGACAGGUGACAGGAGGAGGGGAAAUGGCCUCAAGCUGCACCAGAGUAAGUUUAGGUUGGAUAUCAGGAAACGCAUCUUUACAGAAAGGGCUGCUAAGCACUGGAAUGGGCUCCCCAGGGAGGUGGUUGAGUCACCAUCCCUGUAUGUGUUUAAGAGCCUUUGGAUGUGGUGCUCAGGGACAUGGUUUAGUGGUGGGUUGCUAGGGUAGUAUGCUUAUGUUGCGGUUGGACUCCAUGAUCUUUAAGGUCUUUUCCAACCUGAUUCUAUGAUUUAUGUUGACUACUGUGCUUUAUGUUGACUACUGUAAAUAGCUUCUAGGUGAUACAAAGACUGUUGAGUUUAAUGCUUAUUUUCCCCUUAAAUGAGAUCGGAGUGGGUCAGAGCAGUGUUUGCUGGUAGGUGCUAAGGGAGGGAGACAUAGAUGUAGUACUCAAGAAUUUUGCUUCUGAUGUGAUCAAGCUGUACCAUGCAAGAUUUUCUUACUCCUCCCUUUGCAAAACUGAAGUGUUUCUUAAAUACUGUGUGCUUGUUUGUCUAGGUUUAUUCCCUCGUAAUUCAGAAGUGAAUUAAAACAGCGGUAGGUUACUCCGUAUAAAUAUGUGAUGACAUGCAAGAUGUAGGUUCUCAAGGGCCAGAAGUUACAUAGAUUGUUAGUAUGGAAAAUGGAGAGCUGCUAGGAUUAAAGAGAGAUGCCAGACGUUGAUAUGCUUGCAUGGAUGUGGGAGAGAAGGGACAGUCAGAUGCAAUAUUUUCUCUGAAUUACAGAGAGAGAACCUUUCAUUAUCUGCAUUCUCUAGAGUAUUCUAUAUUCUCCAGCAUAUUUUUGCCAUAUGUGUUUAGUUUCCAGAAGUUUAUAUACAUUAUCUGCUUUUUGUUCCAAACAAUGUAACAUUUAUUACUAGUUUCAUGAGUUGUUGUUUCAGGGGGGAAAAAAACGUCUGCAUAGAUCUGCCUGUAACUUUGAUUUCUGCUCUGGCCCCGUGCCACAUGCAAUAUAUACCAUCUGCACCAAAGAGGAUGAUAAAAAAUAUGCCUAUCAACCAAGUCAUUGUACAGUUGCCUCAGUCUCUUUCACAGCGUUGCACAUUGUUUUCAUUGUUUUGAGGAAGGUCACCAAUACUUUGCUGUUGGUGGGCAAGAUGGCUUUUAACUGCUAACCCAUCCCCACACAGUUGCAAGGGAUGGUCUCAGAGGCCUUUCCAAUCUCUGUGAUUCUAUGGUUCAUUCCCAAGGCAAGGGGAGAGCACGCCAAAAGUGCGGUGGCAGGGAAGUCUUAAGGGGGAUCACACAAGGAAGCUUCUUGAUUACAAAUUAUUUUGCUUACAGUUCGUGUCCUUUGUAACCUUAACGAACAGUGGAUAAAAAGACUGGACAUAAUUAUAAUUAAAUAGAGGAAUCACUGCGGUGCUGUAACACUCUGCUUUCUCUGUUCACCUUCUCCUUCUUGAAUUACUUAUGCUUGAUUGUUACAAUUGAUUGCAAUUGUGAGAGCUAAUUUUAGUACAUAAAUUUUGUAAUGGAAGCCUGCCAACUGUUUGUGUAAUGGAAGGUAACAACGACGCAGAGUUUGAUACAGGGCAUAUUUCUCUCUUUCUCCAGCCAAAUGUUGGCAACCAUUUCAUGGGCUUAUUCACACACACACACACAUAUAAAUAUAUAUAUGCACAUAUUCAACACGUGUGUAUAUAUAUACAGAUACAUGUAUGGACAGUAUAUAUAGCCAAAGAAGAAGAAAAUUUAGCCAACUCCCUGUGAAAAGCAGAAGAGCAACUUAGAUAACUGUGAUGAGUUUAAGGAACGAGCUGAAUUUAAAGCUGAUGAGAAAGUGAUCAUUUCCUUAGAUAUUGAACAAAUACUAGGAGAAGUUGAGUUUGAUCUUAAACUUUGCAUGAUGGAAAAGAGGACAAAGAGUAUUCCAACCUUAAGAAAAAAAAUCCAAUAUGUUUAGUUUAUGAAACUGAAGACAAGCAUAUGGGUAUAUAAAUCUGGGCCCUUAGAAAAUGUCAUGGCAGUUUUCCUAGCAGCCUGGUCCAAUUUCCAAGAAGUUCAUUGUCAGAACCUGCAGGAAGAGUAGAUUUUAGUUGCCACAGAAUAAGCAGCGAAGGUUUAUUCUUAAUUGAAUUCUAACUCACGGAUGAAUUUGCUUUCCGUGUCCUGUUUUCAUAUAUCCUAGAUUCAAGAUACAGUAAUUAUCAAGGCUGUUUUCCAGGGCCCUUUCUCUUCCUUCACAUGCCAAAGAGGAGGAAGAAAUUUUAAGUGGUCAAGAGGGUGUGAAGAGGGCAGAUGGGUUGGUGGGGUUUAAGGCUUUUAGGGAUGAUUUUUUCUAUGGAUUGAAAAGCGUAACUUAAAAAAGAAAGGUUAUCUGGCAGAUUCGUUCUGGUUACUCAAGUUAUUACGUGAGCCCAUUGGUAAGGUAAGGUAUGCAAACCAACUGCAACUCGUAUCAUCUUUCUCCCACAGGUUUUUGGUGUCUCCUCUCACUCGUUUUUCUCUUUUUGCCAUUCUAGUUGUGAUUGUUUAAAAACAAGUUAUAAUUUGAAGCUCACAUUGUACAAACUUUUAUCUUGGUCAUCCUCCUGGAGUUAUUCACAGAUGUGAAGGUUUGGCAAAGUCAUGGCCAAGUAUGACAGGUGGAGGAUCUACGUUCUCGAAUCAGCUCUUCCUUUUGUCUUUGUUUUGGGGAUUUUUAGUUCAACUCGGUGCCAUAUGGGGUUUACUUAAGGAGAUAGUGUGUCUCUGCAAAAGCGUCUUUAAAAGGGAUAGAACAGUUUAAAUAUGUUCAAGAGAAUUAAUUAAAGUGUCUUUCAGUUGAAAGGAAACGAGACUUUUUUUCUUUCAAAAUAAAGCCCCAGCCCUGUGAAACGUUUUGCAUCAAUUACAAAAGGAGCUUCAGUACAUUCUUCUAAAAUGGGGAAUGAGCAAACUGCAUCUGCUAGGUGUGGGAGUGACAUUUCAAAAUCCCACUGACAGUUGAAUUAGCAAACUAAACAUCAUCUUGCUCGUCCUGGUGCCAAGUGAGUAGCUCCCCACUUUCCAGAAGUGAAAUUGUCCCCUCCGAGGGGUGAAAUUGACCCAAGGAAAACGCUGGUGGAGACCCUCUGAUAGGACAGAGUCCUCAGUUCUCUACCACAGUAAAUGUUGAUUUCUGCCGGAAACUUUAGAGCUGCCUGUUGUUAACAUCAUAACAACACGAGGCAGGGCUCCUGGAUUUACUUAGGUUUAUAUGGCAAAGCCACCUUUGUCUGCCCCAAAAUAAGGGUGGCUGUAUGCCUGCCUACGGUUUGUGCCAUCCAGUGUUGACUCUUUCCUUGUGGCUCUCAGAAACGCCUUGUUUAAGCAAUGGAUGUACAUAAACCCCCUUGUCUUAUCAGAAAUGACUGAAGAAAGGGAAAAGUGUGGCAUUUCCUGAACCACGGGGGCUUUCACUGUUGUUUUAUACUUCAGAGUUUCUUUGAAUGAUAAAAUAAUAAUAGUCUGUGAUGCUAUAGUGAUCCUCAGUCAUAGUUACCUACUUAUUUACAUCACAGUUUUCAUGGUUGAAUCACUGGGUGCGUCACAAAGGCAGACCUUCGAUGUCGUGUCUGUUCUAAUGGGAAUGGGUUGUGACUUCGAGAAAUGAAAUGUCACAGCAAAGGUCACACUGUGGAGCUGCCAGAGAGCUGGGAAGAAGGCCUCUACUGUAGACUGUCAGAUGAACAACGCCAUUCCCAGUUUCAGUUUGCUGCUGUUUUGCUUUCAGAAAGAUUGCAGGAUCAGACAAUUGUGUGGGCUCGAGAACUCUCUGAUCCCACCUUCCUCUCAGAAAGCUUUUACAAGCAUUUAUAUAUAUGUGUGUGUAUAUGCGUAUGUAUGUGUGAACAGUAAUCUGAUGCAGGAGCAUCAUGCAUAUUGCUGCUGUGUUUCACAUUGUUGCCCAUGUUAUGAAAGAAUUUAUUUGUCACAUUAGUCUAGCAGUAAUUUACUCAGUCCCUCAGUCCUAUGUAAACUUAGAUCUUGCCUUCCUAUCACAAAGAGAGCAAUGACGUAGAAUCACAGAAUCACAAAGGUUGGAGAAGAUCUCUAAGAUCACCCAGUCCAACUGUCAGCCCACCCCCACCACGCCCACUGCCCAUAUCCCUCAGUGCCACAUCCACACGGCUCUUCAACACCUCCAGGGACGGUGACUGCACCACCUCCAUGGGCAGCUUGUUCCAUUAAUGGGAAGGUGCCUGGGAUACUGUUGCAAAGAGUGAGUUUGAAGGAAGUGAAAGUCUGGAUGGGCAGGUAGAAAAUAACUUUGGCAAGGUAAUACAGUAGCCAGAGCCAGGGACAGAACCAGGAGCAGUAAUGAAAGAGAACCAGUAACAGCAGAGAAGAUGAUUUGAAGGGAAAGCUGGAGAUUCAAGCCAAUAGAGGUCUGCUGCCUUUGAUGUAACUAACAUGUAGGUCCAUGGAAGCUGGAGGAGAGAAGAAUGGCGGUGAUCAGCUGCACCGGCUGCUCCUUGUCUGGCAAUCCUUCGGCAUCUGUAAGCUUCUUUGUGAGGGGAUCUGCAAAAGCUGCGUGUGACAAGAAGCUCAUGUUGCUACAAGCACAGAUAUACUUGUUUAGCUGGGAGGCAUUUCUGCAAGGGCUGCCCUUGCCGUGGAAAACCAUGCGUGGAGCAGAAAUCAGAGGUGAAGACCUUGGUCUUCUGCGGUGUGCAUGUACUGCGUUUCGAGCUGUGACACCACUCCUGUGGUGCUGGGGGACGCAAAGCUGGCAUCUCUGGGAGAGGGGAGAGGUGGUGUCUGGCCCACAAGAUGAGGCUCUACCUGAAAAUGUCAUUCUCCGAAUUCAGGUAGAAGCCGUGCUUUAAGUAAAACUACUCACUAUACACGCAGUGGCUGUUAUUUGCCUGUUCUCUCCAAGGUCCUACUAACUAUUAGUGGGUUUUUCCCCUCCUGAGGCUUUCAUGUUUCUUAACUUCACAGUGUUUAAAUCCCACAGCGCAGUCAUUGGCUGUGGAUAAGCAGGGAGGAUGGGGCUGGUUAUGGCCAGAGUGACUGGUGGAUGUGGCAGGCAGCAGCACCAUGCUGCGUGCCAUGCUGUAUGUCAUGCCAUAUGCCAUGUACUAUAUGGGGCUGUAGUGACAGUUGUGCCUGAGGCUGCUGGGAGGCUGCAAGUUGACAGCAGUACUCACAUGGUUGGAAAGCCUAGCUCAGCAACACAGGCUGGGAUUAUACGUAGGCACUUUGUAACCUUUUCUUAUAUUAUUUUUGAUAGGGCAACACUGUUGUUAGUGAAAUAGGGCUUGGUUAGCUGAAAUGGCUCACUGCAGGGUGGGUUGCUGCAUUUGCAGGGCAAGAUGCAAUGUUCCUCUUGGGUGCUGCAGCCAGACCUGCAAUCUGCCUCAGAGGCUUAGUGGGAAAAACACAGAAGAAACUGUUCUGAGCAGCACUGUGGUGAUGGUGCAUGGCUCAGUCUGAUUGCAGUGUGCUCCCUGUUUGGGCUCACUUUUCAGAAGAAAAUGAAACUGCUUGCUGGAGAGUCAGAGCGGGAUUUUCAUUUUUAUUUUUAUGCUCCAAGCCUGAGCUGAUGCUGUAGGGGAUGGUAUUAUCCCUCCUCUUCCUCUUCUGGGCCCUGCGUGCCUCUGCCUUGCUGGUUUCUGCCCCAGUGUUCUCUGGCCACAUGGCUGAACAGGGACCUGCCGUCAUCAGGCACUGAUUUGACUGGCGUGUGGGUGCAGCCAUGCUGGGGUAGCAUGAAGGAGUCGAGGGGAUGUGUGGUCUUGAUUAGAAUGAAUAGUGGAAGUAUACCUGCGUGACACAUCUUCUGCCCUUCAGGUUUGAUGCCAGUGUCAGUGUUCAGCUGUUGGAGUGAUGGGUGCAGGAAAAACACCUUGCAAAGUCCACUCGUCUCAAUCCUUCCUUUCUUCUCUGUGUAUUUAUACCAGGAAGCACUUCUGUGCUGUGCAGCAGACAGAGCGCUGGCACAGGCUGCCCAGAGGCUGUGGAGUCUCCUCCUUGGAGGUCUUCAAAAUCCAACUGGCCAUGGCCCUGGGCACCCUCUCCGGACGUUCAUUCUGCAGCAGGGGUUGGGCCAGGUGGACACAAAGAGC
This 12105-nucleotide long non-coding RNA is filed under the name Gallus gallus (chicken). Lineage: Eukaryota; Metazoa; Chordata; Aves; Galliformes; Phasianidae. The record is from RNAcentral.